Molecule: unclassified non-coding RNA, 328 nt
Filed under: soil metagenome
Description: partial contains 5.8S ribosomal RNA, internal transcribed spacer 2, and large subunit ribosomal RNA
Rfam family: 5.8S ribosomal RNA (bases 1-120)
Source: RNAcentral
GAUGAAGAACGCAGCGAAAUGCGAUAAGUAAUGUGAAUCGCAGAAUUCAGUGAAUCAUCGAAUCUUUGAACGCACAUUGCGCCCCUUGGUAUUCCGAGGGGCAUGCCUGUUCGAGCGUCAUUAUAACCCCUCAAGCUCAGCUUGGUGUGGGGCCUGCUGCACUGGCAGCCCUUAAAAUCAGUGGCGGCGCCAUCUGGCUCUAAGCGUAGUAAUUCUUCUCGCUAUGGAGUCCUGGUGGAUGCUUGCCAUCAACCCCCAAUUUUUCUAUGGUUGACCUCGGAUCAGGUAGGGAUACCCGCUGAACUUAAGCAUAUCAAUAAGCGGAGGA